AUUUCUUGAUUGUUUUUUUGUCGUUCUUUUUGAGCAAUGGGUCGUUCCAGAAAAGAUCCAUACCCCCCCUACGGAGGAAAUUUUUGCUGUCCGAAGGGGGAGGGAGGAAAAAUGUCUUAAGAUGUCCGAAGGGGGGGGAGAGGAAAAAUGUCUUAGGAUGUCCGAAGGGGGGGAGAGGAAUGUGGAUAUGUUUGUCUGAAGGUUUGAGACUGUGAUAAAGCCAUGUGAUCGGCGAUUAUAAUGAGCACGCAAUUUUUAUCGGCUAUAUAUAUGCAGCUCUUGAACAGCGGAACGUUUAUGUAACAGCAAUAAUUAUACAUCCACGUAACUUGUAAGCAAAAUAAGCGGACCACUUUUGCAUGCAUGGCCACCAAAAACUAACUCGCUGUAACAGCGUAUCCUGCAUGUUGAGAAUGAGUCGAAAAUUGACACGCUUUAUUUAUAUAGUUUGCAGAUUUCGUUCGCCAUAUAUAAGUUUGAAUUAUUCAAGUGUUAAAAAUAAUAGUUAUUAAACUGUUGCUCGAAUUAAGAGACUGCUAUGUGAACUGAACUCAAAACAAUUUGUUGCGACCAGCGAGCGAGCACCAGCGAGCGAGCUGGGAGCAUCCUAAUCUGUUUCUGUGCGUAGAAAAUUUAAAUAUACUGCUGAGUUCGGAUUAGCCCCGGCUCAAGAUUCACCGAUUCACCUCGGCUUGCAUUCCAUAUUUGGAACAUAUUUCCAUAUUUGGAAGACCGCAUGGAACGGUAUUUCCGCCCAGUGUUUUAUUGGUCUUUAUUUACUCAUCGAUACUGAUGCAAUUUUAUACAUGUACCUUUAACUUUUGUUCAUCAAAUUGUACAUCAAAUGAAGCUUAACUUAGCAUCUACUAACUGUUGUAAGUCUGUUAUUGAAGACAGAUUUAAAUAAUCAAAAAGAUUAAAUGCUGUGCGUGAGGAUGUUGUGAUGUAUACAAAGAA
Non-coding RNA from Paramuricea clavata, 957 nucleotides. Lineage: Eukaryota; Metazoa; Cnidaria; Anthozoa; Malacalcyonacea; Plexauridae. The record is from the annotation of a GenBank genome assembly.